Long non-coding RNA from Amphiprion ocellaris (clown anemonefish), 552 nucleotides. NCBI's taxonomy places the organism in Eukaryota, Metazoa, Chordata, Actinopteri, Pomacentridae. The record is from Ensembl.
UACCAGACAGGAAGUAUCAUCAAUUUGUCAGCCUCAUGCAGUUUCACUGAUGGACAACUGGUGGCAGUAAUGUGACGAAGGGUCGCUGCCCAAUAAAAGCAACAGGAGAAGAACGAAGAGACGACAAACAGCAGGUCGUCUCCUCCAGCAGAAGAAAACCAGAUGAUGUUCCACCUCCAUCCAACAGACAUUCUAACUGGCUGGUUGGGGUUCUUCUGCAGUAUUCCCGGCUCUCUCCUGGACGAUCCCUGGACCCAGUGGAGGUGGUUGGAGACGGGAGAAGCUGUCAUCCCCGAUGGAGGACCAGUGGAAUCUUGUCACAGCACUGGACAGCUGCUUCUCUGGUGAUGAGGAAGACCACAGAUCUUCAUCCUGCUGCUGGCAGACUCUAUAACCAUCACUGCUCACAGUAAACCACAGGAGGAGAAACUGACAAGAUAUUUGCUUUGACCUCUUUGCUGCUGUAACACUGCAUAUUAUCCUGCUGUGGAAUCAAUGAAGGAUUAUUUUAUCAUGUUUUCUAUACUAUGAGUCCACAUACUACUGUGGCGC